This 429-nucleotide ribosomal RNA is filed under the name Pseudomonadota bacterium. RNAcentral's name for it is "Proteobacteria bacterium partial 16S ribosomal RNA". It matches the Rfam family "Bacterial small subunit ribosomal RNA", at positions 355 to 776 of the family's 1533-position model. Lineage: Bacteria; Pseudomonadati; Pseudomonadota. The record is from RNAcentral.
UGGGGAAUAUUGGACAAUGGGCGAAAGCCUGAUCCAGCCAUGCCGCGUGUGUGAAGAAGGUCUUCGGAUUGUAAAGCAUUUUAAGUUGGGAGGAAGGGCAGUAAGCGAAUACCUUGCUGUUUUGACGUUACCGACAGAAUAAGCACCGGCUAACUCUGUGCCAGCAGCCGCGGUAAUACAGAGGGUGCAAGCGUUAAUCGGAGUUACUGGGCGUAAAGCGCGCGUAGGUGGUUCGUUAAGUUGAAUGUGAAAGCCCCGGGCUCAACCUGGGAACUGCAUCCAGAACUGGCGAGCUAGAGUAGGGCAGAGGGUGGUGGAAUUUCCUGUGUAGCGGAGAAAUGCGUAGAUAUAGGAAGGAACACCAGUGGCGAAGGGGACCACCUGGGCUCAUACUGACACUGAGGUGCGAAAGCGUGGGGGGCAAACAGG